GAAGAGCGCGGGGACUUAAGGGGAGGCUCUGUCCCCCGCUGGCCUGGUGUUCUCGCAGUGCCGGCUGGGAGUAGGUCGCCGCGCGGCAGGGGUGCUGGUCCAGCCGGAGGGCUGCAUCUGCUUGGCGCAGGUUUUGCUUUAAAGAAGUCUUGCCGGUAUCUUUGGUCCAAAAUGCUUUGCAGAGGUGCAGGUCCCGAGCCGCGUGUUGCAGCCGGCACUGAAAUCCUCGGAUUCAAUCCAUUGUGUGCGCUGGGUUCUGGCCCAGCAAUUCGCAGCUAGAGUUAGGGGCAAAAAAACACUUUCCGCAGGGAGAGCUGGCAGGGUGUGGAGGGGUGAGAUGUCCCGGGUGUGACUCCCCUUCUGAAAUCACAGCUUUAGAGAGCUCCCAAAGUUGUCAGAAUGCAUUGGGUCAGCCUUUAGUGGAGCAGUCAGCAGGGCAGUCGAUUUUGGCCGGCUCUCCAUUGGGAAAGGAAAGGUUUUGCUACUGAAUGAAGGCACUACAGGGCAUGCUGUAUUGGCCUAUUUAAACAUCUCUUAGGGAUAGGAAAAAACAGCAGUGGCACAUAACAACCUGCUUUGCUGUUUCUUAAUGAUCAGUUAGUAAGCAAAGGUACAUUGAGCUGAAGAAAUCUUAUAUUCAUAGAUACAGGGACAGAGGGGACCUGAGCAGAUCAUCAAGUCUGACCCCCUGCACUGGGCAGAAAUGAAUACUGGGCUCAUAUGACCCCAGUCAGGUAGUUAUCUAGCAGCCUUUUAAAGACGCCUAAGGUAGGAGAGAGCACCACUUCCUUUGGAAGCUGGUUCCAGAUCUUGGCCACCCUGACUGUGAAGUAGUGCCUCCUGGUGUCUAGCCUGAACCUACUUUCAAUCAACUUGCGGCCGUUAUUCCUUGUUACUCUGGGAGGCGCUCGGGGGAACAGGGUCUCACCCGUUCCCCGCUGGUCCCCCCGGAAUCAUGGUCAUCAUCAUUGUCAAUCCUUCUCAGUUGAGGAUGAAUAUCUUCCAUGACUGCCAUAUCUGUGGGUCUGAAGAUGGUUGGCGAGGCUGAUACAGGAUCAACAAACUCUGUCACAACUUGGGCAUGCAUAUCUGUGCAGGGUUCCUGUUACAACAUGGAUGAAGUUGCUCAGUCAUUUGGGAUAUGUCCACACUGGGGCAGCAGAGAGAUAAUUUGCAUCUGAAGGACUAAGAUAUGAACAUCUGCUCCUGCUCCAUCUGCCAAAACCCCUGGAAAUGACUUGGUGAGGAUGUUCUGGGUUCCCCUCCUCACAGUGCCUAAAACUUGUGUUUCCAGCAUACUCUGGACUGUUGGCUUUCACAGCAUUGUUGCUGCCUUCUUUCUUGGUUUGAUGUAUGUAGCACAGUGGAAGUGGGUAAGGGGGUUAUUUCCUGGCAGUGAGACUGAGCUCUCUGCUGCUGUGGUGGAUGCAUGUCCUCAGUUAACUUUUUUGCUUUUCUCUCCAUUUAUAAAAUGGGAUUAAUGCUAGAGCUGGUCAAAAUGUUUUUAGUGAAUAAUACAGGCAACAACAAUUACAUUUCCUUGGAAAAAUGGUUUUGAUAGAGUUUUUAUUUUUGUUGACAUUUCCAUUUCUAUGAAAUAGAAAUAUUUAAAAAUAUUAAACAAUUUUCAUUUUAAAAUUAUGAUAAAUACCUCCCUCUUGCCUUUGUUACCUUUCCCAUUUUGCACUGGAAAAAGACAGGAAAAAAUGGGAAGUGUCUGGGGAACACUUUCAGUUUUGUAUUUCCCCUUCUAUCCAUUUUUCCACUCAGAAAGGGGGGAAUAUAUAUUUUAAAUAAAAGGAAUGUGGUGCUAGAAAACCUGUUUUCAUGA
Molecule: long non-coding RNA, 1831 nt
Organism: Alligator mississippiensis (American alligator)
Lineage: Eukaryota; Metazoa; Chordata; Crocodylia; Alligatoridae
Exons: 3
Source: RefSeq, a predicted model, not a curated record